Molecule: long non-coding RNA, 4016 nt
Organism: Dermacentor silvarum
Lineage: Eukaryota; Metazoa; Arthropoda; Arachnida; Ixodida; Ixodidae
Exons: 6
Source: RefSeq, a predicted model, not a curated record
ACACUGGCCUCGAGUGUGACCCAGUGUGACCGAUGGUGACGCUGCGAUCUUCACUCGUGUGACGUCUGCUACACGGCUGCAGCUCUUGCGACGUCGUUACCAAUGUCGUUACUCUGUAAUAUUGAAUCACCGCUAUUCCUUCCUCUUCAGCCAAAGAACAUCAUGCAUACUCAAGGGCAAAUUUCCAAGUAUCGGAAGACGAUAUCAAGGCCUCGAAGACAGCAGGUGCUGCUUCUGAAUGGGAGCAUGAAUAGGACUACGCUCAAGCUGACGACGACCGGGGGGCGGGGGAUGUACUGACAUAGGAACACCACACACAGCCCCCAAGCCAAUGCCAUUGGUCACCCAUAACUGUACAACCACAGCCCUUGAAAGCCUGUACAAGACAUCCACAGAGCCUGCUGCAGUCACUGGCCGCAGUAUUAUGUGAAAGACAGCCUACUUUUGGCAGCAAGCAGGCUGAGUAAUUUCUUGGCCACAAAAAGGCAUUUCUGGUUGUAAAAGAUAUGGCUGAAGCCAUACAGGGCCGUGAAGUGCUGGCAGAGCAAACUUAUGGGGGAAAACUACCCCCAAAAGACUACAAAAACCCCACAGCUGUAGUAAGGAAGAAGGUGAGCCCACAGAAGGUUGCCAUGAUUAUUGAGACGGAACUACUUUGAGAAGAAGGCAAUGAAGCUUGAUUCUAUUAACAACAAGAACCGAGUGCCAUAAGGGGCAGAAAGUUGUCACUUUAAGUUGGCUCUCCUUUUUUGCCACUGUGGAAUCUUUUGGGAUUCUACUGUUCUGGUGCAUAUGCCGCCUAAGUUGCAGUCAUCCUCUGCUGCAAAAUUUUUUCCAUUUAGUUUAUUAUUUUGGUGCAACAAAGUGGAGGUUAAUCUAUAGUUAAUCUAUGGUUAAUCUAGGUUAAUUAUAUAUGAAAAUAAUAAGGUUGCUUUAAAUAGUUCAUUGAUGACUAAUGCAAUAUCCCUUUGCCCUCGUUCUAUUGCACUUACUUUUGCUGCAAUGACUGAACUGUUAUUAUCAUGAUAUAUAAAUUUGUUCAUCAUCCAUGGUAAUUCGAAAAAAAAAAAAAGAAAAAUGCAAACUCUAAGCUGUCUGAUUUCUUGUUUCCAAUCACAACACCUGUUAGCUCCUGUAGUAAUAUGUAGUGUCCCAUUUUGUUACAUAUAGAUUUAAUGUGUUCACUUGCGGUUUUAAUAAGUGAAUGUAUUGAGACUUGCUUUAGCUUUCUUUGGUGUGGACUUACUGUGUGCUGUUUAUGCAAGUCUUUCAAUGUGCUGCUUAUGUUACAUUUGCAUGCGCACAUUUAGUGACCCCUUAUGAUUAUGAUGACUUGUUCAAGUGUUGGACCGACUGUCAGUAUAAUCUUGUUCAUGCAUCUAAGAAUUAACUUUAAAGCACCAGCUUCUAGUGCUUUGUUUUGAAGUUAAAUUGCCUUUAGUAAUUAGUGUGUGCCUUUAGCAUUUUUCAUGCUGUGAAAUGUUUCACAUUAUGCGGUGCUUAUGCUUACAGUUGUGUCGAUUGCUUUCCUUGCAAUACCAGUAACGACGGAAAGUAUUAUGGCAUGUCGACUUCAGCUCUGAGCUUUAAGCCUGUCUUUUUGACAAAUGAGUGUAACUGUACUGGUAACAUAGCUAUACGUCUUUUACAGCAUCAUCUGUUGAGAUCUCAUCCAUGCGUUGCUGCAUCCUACUUAAGUUCACUCAGAUGGAUGCAUGUAAUCUUCAGUGACAUCCUACUCAGGGCAUUCGUGGAGGUUAUGUUUGUAACCAUAUUUACAAAGAAUCCUCAUAGGCAGGACAGUGGAGGUAUCAAGGUAUAACGAACGCGGUUAUAACAAAGUAAAUCAAAAAUUUGUCUCGCCAAUAUCCGCAUGUGAUGAAUAUAUGCUUAUGACAAAUAUCCGAUGUAAUGAAGAUAUUUUCAUGUUGGAUGCAACUUUGUAAUAACAAAGUUCGACUGUAGUAAGUAGACUCAGUGCAGAUAAAAGCAUUAAAGAUCACCGAUACUAGUGAGCUCCUAAAAGAGUGUCAGGUUAAAUCAAAAAGACUGUACCUAAUUUGCAAAGUUGCAAUAAACUUUGGUAGGAUGGCAGUCGGCUGAGAGCGCUGUUAAAGUUUCUAAUGGUGUUCAUGUUGAUGACUAAGGAUCAGCUAGAGAUUGCAGACAUUUAUUGUUUCACACUUGACAGUCUAUGCUGUUCUUGAUAUAUGCCUACUGUGUGCAUGAAUCUACAGUAUAGACCACUUAUAACAUAACUGCUUAUAGUGCAGGACCGGAUAUAGUACGGUCUUUUCAGACUCCCGUUAAUUUUCCCAUAGCACUCCAUGUAUACGCAUACCGCUUACAGUGCAGCCGCGCAACACCAAACACAGGUUAUAAUGCGGCUUCCGCGGGAAAAUCUCGCCGACAAGGGCGGCAGCGAGCACUCUUCUCAAUGAGGUGCGCCCACCGAUGGGAGAGGAGUUCAACGAGGGCGAUGCAGAGGAGGAGCAUGAGACGUGGAGCAUGAGUCCAAGGGCAAUAAAAUCGAAGCCGCGCGCUGUAUGUGCGAGUGAAAGCGCGCGGGGGACGCCGCUUUCAUUGUUGUUUCUCUUGUUGUUUCUCCUUUGUUGUUGUUCAUUGUUGUUUCUCCUUUGUGGGCUUCUACUCUGCCAACAAAUGCAUUCGCGCUUGUGCCGGCUGUCGGUGUUGUCGGGCGCACCGUAUCUUGAAAGCGAUCUCCACAUGGCUCUGACCUUUGUAUGCACUGUGCUUACGCCGCUCAGUUUCCGUUGAAGCGAUAGACCACACGAACCUUCGCUCGCUGCGGCGGCCGCGUUUCCCCACACCCACGUUUUGACAGUGGUUGUCUGCGGUCAUCGAGUCUAUUCAUGUUUGCUUGUGCGCUUUGACACCACGCUUGUUAAUUCAGUUAGUAAGCGAAUGUAUCAAGUUUAUGCGGCCGAUGAAACUACUAUCCCUACUCCUUAUAGCUCUCUACUAAUUUGCUAUCGCAAUUGAUGGUUUGCCUUUCGGGCGAAACUGAGACAUUUUAAAAAAUUAUUACUUUGUCUGCUUCAUGCGAAGAUCGUGAGUACUUGGACAUUAACCUUUCAACGUUCGUAAAUUUAAACGGAUGCAAAACUCCCAGUCGCACGCUUCGAUUCUCGGAUAUGCACGGCUGCUUGGUCUAGAUGUUUUGCAUACGUGCAGGGCUUGAAAAUCGUUGUUUUUGUUAUAGUGUGGUACCGCUUAUAGUGCAGAUAUUCAUGACUCCGGCGACUUACGUUAUAAGCGGUCUACACUGUACUAAGACCUUUUGUUCUCCUCAUUGCCACCAGCUCUCGACUAAACAGCUAUAGUGCCACAACUGCCAUUCAAUUUUGCCAUUCCAUUCCAAUUGCUGGCUUAAAGAAAAAACAAAAGGCACUCUAUGUAGUAUACCAACAGUGUUAUUGCCUAGAGAGCAAUAACUGUGGCAAGUGACUACUCACAUUGCUUAGAUUUCUGUGACUAUUUUUUCAGUGUCAUUCUCUCUUCAAUCACCUGGAAUAACACAACCACACACUGGCGUUCAGACAAAAGAAGAUAUUUCUGAAUCAUCCGUUAAGGAGAAUACCAGCACUGGCAGUGGAGACACCAUACCGGAUGUGGCACCAGAAGGUGAUGCCAUCAUCAAGACCCAGUCCAAGAGCAAAGAGAGCUACAGGCCAAAUCAAAACCGAGGACCGUUUUCCUGUCAUUUGUGCCCCUGGACCUUCCCCUGCAACUCUGACUUCAUAGCGCACAUGCGCACGCAUACUGGAGAGAAGCCCUUCAAAUGCAGCGUCUGCUCCAGCAGCUUUGGCAGGAAGUCAGAUAUGUCAAGGCACAUGAUAGCUCACAGUCACACGGCUGAGAAACUCUUCAAGUGUACCGUCUGCUCAAGGUGCUUCGGCAGGCAGUCAAACCUGACAAAUCACAUGAUUAUUCAUCCACGUGAAAGGCCUUUUGUAUGUUCUGUUUGCCAAUCAAGGUUCAGCACCAAGCAGAAA